RNAcentral lists this ribosomal RNA (1058 nucleotides) under human gut metagenome. Its description in RNAcentral is "bacterial SSU rRNA". It matches the Rfam family "Bacterial small subunit ribosomal RNA", at positions 8 to 1087 of the family's 1533-position model. The record is from RNAcentral.
AGAGUUUGAUUCUGGCUCAGAACGAACGCUGGCGGCGUGGAUAAGACAUGCAAGUCGAACGAGAGAAUUGCUAGCUUGCUAAUAAUUCUCUAGUGGCGCACGGGUGAGUAACACGUGAGUAACCUGCCCCCGAGAGCGGGAUAGCCCUGGGAAACUGGGAUUAAUACCGCAUAGUAUCGAAAGAUUAAAGCAGCAAUGCGCUUGGGGAUGGGCUCGCGGCCUAUUAGUUAGUUGGUGAGGUAACGGCUCACCAAGGCGAUGACGGGUAGCCGGUCUGAGAGGAUGUCCGGCCACACUGGAACUGAGACACGGUCCAGACACCUACGGGUGGCAGCAGUCGAGAAUCAUUCACAAUGGGGGAAACCCUGAUGGUGCGACGCCGCGUGGGGGAAUGAAGGUCUUCGGAUUGUAAACCCCUGUCAUGUGGGAGCAAAUUAAAAAGAUAGUACCACAAGAGGAAGAGACGGCUAACUCUGUGCCAGCAGCCGCGGUAAUACAGAGGUCUCAAGCGUUGUUCGGAAUCACUGGGCGUAAAGCGUGCGUAGGCUGUUUCGUAAGUCGUGUGUGAAAGGCGCGGGCUCAACCCGCGGACGGCACAUGAUACUGCGAGACUAGAGUAAUGGAGGGGGAACCGGAAUUCUCGGUGUAGCAGUGAAAUGCGUAGAUAUCGAGAGGAACACUCGUGGCGAAGGCGGGUUCCUGGACAUUAACUGACGCUGAGGCACGAAGGCCAGGGGAGCGAAAGGGAUUAGAUACCCCUGUAGUCCUGGCAGUAAACGGUGCACGCUUGGUGUGCGGGGAAUCGACCCCCUGCGUGCCGGAGCUAACGCGUUAAGCGUGCCGCCUGGGGAGUACGGUCGCAAGAUUAAAACUCAAAGAAAUUGACGGGGACCCGCACAAGCGGUGGAGUAUGUGGCUUAAUUCGAUGCAACGCGAAGAACCUUACCUGGGCUUGACAUGUAAUGAACAACAUGUGAAAGCAUGCGACUCUUCGGAGGCGUUACACAGGUGCUGCAUGGCCGUCGUCAGCUCGUGUCGUGAGAUGUUUGGUUAAGUCC